Long non-coding RNA from Oreochromis niloticus (Nile tilapia), 2592 nucleotides. RefSeq lists it as uncharacterized. NCBI's taxonomy places the organism in Eukaryota, Metazoa, Chordata, Actinopteri, Cichliformes, Cichlidae. The transcript has 2 exons. The record is from RefSeq and is a predicted model, not a curated record.
AUAUCCAAAUUUAUGAUAUCGGUAUCGGACAUAAAAAAGUGGUAUCGUGCCAUCUCUAGAAUAAACAACGAUGGCAGAACCAGUAACUUUGUUUACAAUUACCUCCUUCUUUAGCAAGGCACCAAUUAGGGUUAAAAGGGCCUUAAUUCUUUCAACUCUAAUAAAGUGGUCAGUGUAUCUAUUCUCCCAGGUGGUAUUAUUAGGCAGUAAAAAGAAGGCUUAGGGGUAAGCUAGCUAGCUGAUGAUUAAACAUGAUAUGUUCUGUACUGGCUGAUGUAGUUCAUAAAACACACAUGCAUACAGCACUGCUAUAACAGUGGAAGUAAACCAAGAUGGAAAUCUACAAAACAGGGAGAUUUUGGAGAGUUAGUUAUGUUAGCCAAGUUGAGAUUAUCUUCCUGCCCAUUGGCUAGCUACAGUGGUACCGGUACACACAGCAGCACUGCCGGUGUUUGUUAUAAUGUGUGGGGUAAGCAUUAAUUUGCUUUCAAUACGGGUGCAUGUUGAGGGUCAGUCAGUGAGAUUCAGCUCCAGUGAGUGUCUGAUUGGCAAAGAUAAGUGCCAAUGUUGAUUUAGGUGGAGAAGAAUGUGUCUCACACUGACAUGGAACGUGUGUGAAAGCAAAAGAAAUUGCUGCCAAGAGUGUCUGAGAUGACACCAUCAACUGCACAAGGUCAGUCAUUAUUUAAAAUUCUCUCUUUGUUCUAAUUGUUUUCUUAAUUUUAUGUAAAGCAUUGUGCUUUAUAUUGAGACACACACGUAGUCGUCAUCAAAAAAUGUCAUUUAAGUGAACAGUCUUGAAGUGAAUAGUCCUAAAUAAAUCCUGGGUAUAGCAUCUGACCUUGAAAUUAUUACUUGUUUAGAUUACUACUUAUUUCGAUUACUAAGAAAUAUUUUUUGUUUUAUUUUUUCAGCUGGAAUGAAAAGACCUGUCACCCAGGAGGACAAAGAAUGGGCACUGGCAUCUCUAUCAAAACAUGGGCGUUUUACUGGGAUGAGGUUGAUUUUGAGUCCAGAAGGGCCUCGGACUUUACCAGCCAAGACAUUUGAUGGAUUGCUGAGGAACCUCAGUUUUGCCCAAGCAGAAGACAAGGCUUGCUAUGUACUGGCAUAACUGACUGUGACUGCGGAAGAGAAGAAACAGGUUGAGGAAGCAACAGUUGGGCAAACAAAGAAUGUAUUGUGAUAAAAAAAAAAAAAUUAAAAAAGGUGCCUUGAAAUUAAUUCUGUUAGGUGUUAAGCAAGAAGUUUGAGUGAACCGUCUCUCUUAAUUUGUUUUUCUUAAUAAAAGGGCAGCAUAUCACAAGAAGAGAAUCAUAGCCAGCAACUUAGGUUUGGUCCUGGGUACAGUCCAGCAGAGCUCAUACCCUCCUUCCUUAUUUAAGACUCUUGGCCAGUACAACCUAACAGUAAGUUGUUAGUAAAAACGGGUCUGUGCUUCUAAGAAUGCAUUUAUAACUAAGUGAUAUUCUCAUCCCCAAAGGCAGCUGUACACUGACUGUACUGGUGCAGUUGUUGAGGAGAGGGGACUGUUUUUAUCCAACAGUGGCCUGCUUGGCAGUUCUCCAGAUGAGACAGUCUCUGAUGACUCCAUCAUUGAGGUGAAAUGCCCAUGGUCAGCCAGAACCAAAACUGUCUUGCAGGCUGCAGAAAGGAAGGACUUUUUCCUACAACUGGAUGAGGCAAGUGAUUCCCUGGUAUUAAAAAAGCAUCACAACUACAGAGGAACCUACAUCUCACAGGGACCAACAGCUGUCACUUUAUUGUUUGGACUCCAUGUGACUUUGUAAUCUUGCCUGUUGAUAGAGAACAAACUUGGGCUGUUAACAUUGAAACUUUGGAAAUGUUCUUUUACCCAACAGUCUAUCGCAGCUAUGAAUUUGUAAAUAUAUUCAGAUAAAUUCUUAAAAUUAAGUUUUGAUUUUACCAAGAAAAUGCUUUGGGCAAAAACUGUUCAGAAAACAAAGAGUAACACAUUUAUCUUGUAGUCCCUAUUUUUAAUGAAAAUUAUCGGCAAAACAAGUAAGCAGUAAUCAGGAGGCUGGAAUGAAAUGAGCAAUAUAACAAACCAUUGAUGAAAAAACCCCAAUUAGAGUACAAUUAAACAUUUUACCAAUUACAACUGAAAAUUCUCAACUUGAAACUAUGCAACUAAGUUGUUGGUUUUUUUAAUGAUGUAACUUCCUGACUAUAUACACAAAACAUUCCAGAACACUUAAAAGGUACAAACAAUAAAAAUAAACGUAUUCAACAGUUGUACUGUCGGGUCCACAAGUAUUUCGACAGUGACACCAUGUAAUUUUGCCUCUGCACUUUCACUGGUCUAAUUCAUGGAUAACAGGAGUUUGUAAAUUUGUAAGACACACACAUACUUUCAGUAUCUUAUUAAUAUUUUUUCUGUAGUGAUGUGGGACGAGAUCCAAAAUUGAGAAACGUUUCAGUCUUUGAAUUGAAUGCGCUACAUGUGCUCUUGCACAGGAGAUCAGCCUGUUAUUGUUCACUUCCUGCUGUGUGAACUGUCCGCUGACGUGGAAAGACGGGGUGUUCAGAGAGACCCCCUCUGGGAGGAUGUCCUGAAUUGUGAAGUCUUUA